This 494-nucleotide ribosomal RNA is filed under the name uncultured bacterium. RNAcentral's name for it is "partial 16S ribosomal RNA". It matches the Rfam family "Bacterial small subunit ribosomal RNA", at positions 28 to 507 of the family's 1533-position model. The record is from RNAcentral.
GACGAACGCUGGCGGCGUGCUUAACACAUGCAAGUCGAACGGAAAGGCCUGCUUUCCCUUGUGGAUUGCGGGUACUCGAGUGGCGAACGGGUGAGUAACACGUGAGUGAUCUGCCCCCAACUUGGGUAUAAGCCUGGGAAACUGGGUCUAAUUCCCGAUAGGACUGCAGGGUGGUGCCUGUGGUGGAAAACGAUUUUCUAGUGGUUGGGGAUGAGCUCGCGGCCUAUCAGCUUGUUGGUGGGGUAAUGGCCUACCAAGGCGGCGACGGGUAGCCGGCCUGAGAGGGUGGACGGCCACAUUGGGACUGAGAUACGGCCCAGACUCCUACGGGAGGCAGCAGUGGGGAAUAUUGCACAAUGGGCGGAAGCCUGAUGCAGUGACGCCGCGUGGGGGAUGACGGCCUUCGGGUUGUAAACUCCUUUCGACCGCGAGGAAGCCACCUGGUUGGAAGGGUGGUGACGGUAGUGGUAGAAGAAGCACCGGCUAACUACGUG